CCUAGAAAUUUGGGCAAUGGGCGAAAGCCUGACCCAGCGACACCGUGUGGAGGAUGAAGUCUUUCGGGAUGUAAACUCCUUACAGGGGGAACGAGGCCGUUGCGUAGUAACUGCCGCAACGGUGACGGUACUCCCAGAGGAAGCCCCGGCUAACUACGUGCCAGCAGCCGCGGUGAUACGUAGGGGGCGAGCGCUGUCCGGAUUCACUGGGCGUAAAGGGUGUGUAGGCGGACCGGCCGG
Molecule: ribosomal RNA, 240 nt
Filed under: uncultured bacterium
Lineage: Bacteria
Description: partial 16S ribosomal RNA
Rfam family: Bacterial small subunit ribosomal RNA
Source: RNAcentral